AUGGGGGAACCUGCUCCAGCUCCGCCGCCGGAAUCCGCGCCUCCGGAGGCCUUGCUCGUCAGGUUCACGCGGGAGCCCGGCAGGCCCGACGAGGCCACGUUCUUUAGGGUCUCCUCCCCGUCCAAGCCCGCGGCCAUGCCGCACCGCGUCACUAUCCCCAGCGGCUACAGCCUAUCCAACGUCUGCAAUGGCCUUCUCUGCUUCGCGCGUGACAGUGCCGAGGCGCCGGCGUUCAUCUGCAACCCCAUUACCGGCGAGACAGCGAGGGUCCCCAAGGCGCCUCCACCCAUGGGGUUCACGGGCGGCACCAUCUACCACAUCUUCGCCCUGGGGUUCAGCCCCUCCACUACAGAGCACAAGCUGUUCCGGUUCACGUGCUCGCCCUUCAGUUCCAUCCAUGGGAAAGACAUCGACCUGUGCGUGUGCACCUUAGACGGCGCUGCAGGCGGCGGCCGAUGGCGCCAGAGCUCGUUCCGCUCCCAGUGCCCCCUGCUGUCCACUUUGCUCCCGGUGCUCGUCCAAGGCAAGCUCUACUUGGUGACCACCGGCAAGACAGGCCCAGGGGAGCGCCGGAACCCCGACGGGUUGCUGGAGGUCGACGUCGCGACCGAGGCACGCCGAACGCACCGCCUCCCGUUCGAGGCCGACCAGUACCACUCGGCCUGGGACCCGCUGGUGAAUUCCUGCGAGAUGGGAGGGAGGCUGUGCCUCGCCGUGGACAUCCUCAGCGGCACGGAGACCACUGCCCGGAAGAUCCAGUUCUGGGUACUCAUGUCUUCGUCACCGCCUGCUCACCACGACCAGCAGCUCGAGAGCGACAACCUUCGUUGGGACCUACGCUACAGCUUCCGCGUUGAUGGCAACUACUAUUUCUUCCAACCGAGGAGUGUCUGGUUCGAUGACGGUGAGAUGACACUGUGCUACAGGGAUUACAAUGUCUUGUUCAAGCAUGGCACAAGAGGACGCUCACCGGAGCCGUCUCCGGACGCUGAUUGUCCGCAAUGUGACCGACAAAUCAAGCUGCCGCAAAUGCCGUCCAACUGCCAAUGGAACAUCUUCGCGGGCUAUCGCCCCAGCCUGCUCUCGCCUCUCACCUUGGCACCGCCGGCAUCCUGUUGGGACGGCGACGAGGAAAGACAAAAAUUCGAGCACGCCUUGUUGCUUGCACUAGAAUGA
Molecule: ribosomal RNA, 1176 nt
Filed under: Triticum aestivum (bread wheat)
Lineage: Eukaryota; Viridiplantae; Streptophyta; Magnoliopsida; Poales; Poaceae
Description: partial small subunit ribosomal RNA
Source: RNAcentral